GUCUACGGCCACACCACCCUGAACGCGCCCGAUCUCGUCUGAUCUCGGAAGCUAAGCAGGGUCGGGCCUGGUUAGUACUUGGAUGGGAGAAAUUAGCUUCUGAGGGCCUACUGGAAGCCAGGGUACAGAAUUCA
This 134-nucleotide ribosomal RNA is filed under the name Microcebus murinus (gray mouse lemur). Lineage: Eukaryota; Metazoa; Chordata; Mammalia; Primates; Cheirogaleidae. The record is from RNAcentral.